UAAGUUUCAUCUACUCCUCGU
RNAcentral lists this non-coding RNA (21 nucleotides) under Caenorhabditis elegans. The record is from RNAcentral. Lineage: Eukaryota; Metazoa; Nematoda; Chromadorea; Rhabditida; Rhabditidae.